UCCAAUCACAGCCCCAUCUCCACCCUUCUUUCCUUCGUUUCACCAAAUCAGGAAGUGUAGUGGACGGCGUAAGGAGUGGCUGUUACCAUUGCUGUGUGACCGCAGUAGAGUCACACUCAGAAGGUUUUCUCAGUCCGUACUCCUUUCUCCCUAAUGGGACGCUAACACGUGUCAUAUUCCCCAAGUUUAUACCCGUCCGAUUAUAUCCAGCUGAGAAUGCCCCACUUUUUGAAAUUCGAUCAGGAUCACACAUUUUCUCUCUCAUUACUUUCCCGAGAGACAAAAAGAAAAUUGAAAACAAACCAACCUAGAAAAUCCUUUCUCUUUCUCUCUCUUCCUCUCUAUCUCUAUCUCUCUCUUUCUUGUCGUUUCUUCUUGGCCGGAAAGUCUGUUUCGAUCCGCCGGAGAAUCUGAGAUUCCGGCUGGUACUGUCUCCGUCGACUGUUGACUUUUCCCUAUUAGGUCUGGGAAUUAGGGUUUCGUCGUACGAGGCUGCGUUCACGUUUUUCGAAGCCCGAGAUCAGUCUAACCCUAGGGGUUGUGGAGGCUCGAUAACGUACGAUUGGGG
RNAcentral lists this long non-coding RNA (568 nucleotides) under Vitis vinifera (wine grape). RNAcentral describes it as "long non-coding RNA (VVIN_LNC008058)". The record is from RNAcentral. Lineage: Eukaryota; Viridiplantae; Streptophyta; Magnoliopsida; Vitales; Vitaceae.